Molecule: small RNA, 118 nt
Filed under: Arabidopsis thaliana (thale cress)
Lineage: Eukaryota; Viridiplantae; Streptophyta; Magnoliopsida; Brassicales; Brassicaceae
Description: ATSL089890
Source: RNAcentral
UAACUAGGCUUCUUUUUGCUUCUCAAAAAUUUGAUGGUGAUGGCGAAGGCCGUAUGAGUCUUUGGCUUUCUAUCUUCUAACAAGGAAACAAUACUUAGGCUUUCAAGAUCCAGUUGCA